AACUCAAAUGCAUUUUAGUUUAAAUGUAUUCCAUGCAAUAUUGAGGACACAUUUGUACAAUGGAAGUGUUUGCUGUUUAUCUGAAAAGAUUUUAUUUGAAGAUCUGAAGCUGGGAAUGCCACCAGCAUGAUUUUACUGGAGUGAGUCCAGCUACAUACAUCAGUUAGAAGAUAUCAGGCACUCUGAGUCUCUGAGACAGGCUGGGACCUGGGAGCCUUUGCUACAGUGCUGCAGUGCUUAUGCGUGGACAAACCUCUCCUCCAGCAACAAAAUACAAAGAAACUAUAUGAGACUAAAAACAACUGCAGUUGGGACAAACUCUGGAGAAGCCAUUAGCCUAGACCUCUCUCAGGAUCGAGAAAUAAACCACAAGCAUCCUAGUGCCAGCCUCAGAGCUGGUUCCCAGUCAUGAGGGUGGCCAGGACGAAGCAGGAAAGAGGCCUCGCUGGGUUCAGCUAAGACUGCAGAGAUGGUAAAUCAGAAACACUUAUCUCCGGCAGAUCUAAAAAAAAACUGGGACAUCUUUGGAAGCCUUCAAAAUUUCAGAGGCCGGUCAGUGAGGAGCAGCUAAAAGGUGAGACUCUCUUUGGAGUGUGGUAGGUCUGGAGAACACACAGAUCACCUGGCUGCAUCCAAUCUUUCCCUGGACAUUUUGUUUUUGUUAUUCCUAC
Molecule: long non-coding RNA, 671 nt
Filed under: Capra hircus (goat)
Lineage: Eukaryota; Metazoa; Chordata; Mammalia; Artiodactyla; Bovidae
Description: lncRNA (ENSCHIG00000007990.1)
Source: RNAcentral